Molecule: ribosomal RNA, 490 nt
Filed under: Abiotrophia defectiva
Lineage: Bacteria; Bacillati; Bacillota; Bacilli; Lactobacillales; Aerococcaceae
Description: bacterial SSU rRNA
Rfam family: Bacterial small subunit ribosomal RNA
Source: RNAcentral
GACGAACGCUGCGGCGUGCCUAAUACAUGCAAGUCGAACGAACCACGACUAGGUGCUUGCACUUGGUCAAGGUGAGUGGCGAACGGGUGAGUAACACGUGGGUAACCUACCUCAUAGUGGGGGAUAACAGUCGGAAACGACUGCUAAUACCGCAUAGGACAUAGGAUCACAUGAUUCCGUGAGGAAAGGUGGCGCAAGCUAUCGCUAAGAGAUGGACCCGCGGUGCAUUAGCUAGUUGGUAGGGUAAAGGCCUACCAAGGCGAUGAUGCAUAGCCGACCUGAGAGGGUGAUCGGCCACAUUGGGACUGAGACACGGCCCAAACUCCUACGGGAGGCAGCAGUAGGGAAUCUUCCGCAAUGGACGCAAGUCUGACGGAGCAACGCCGCGUGAGUGAAGAAGGUCUUCGGAUCGUAAAGCUCUGUUGUUAGAGAAGAACAGCGCAUAGAGUAACUGUUAUGCGUGUGACGGUAUCUAACCAGAAAGCCCGGU